Molecule: ribosomal RNA, 1897 nt
Filed under: Patescibacteria group bacterium
Lineage: Bacteria
Description: partial 23S ribosomal RNA
Rfam family: Bacterial large subunit ribosomal RNA
Source: RNAcentral
UAUCUACUCAUAACGUCAAUGAUGGAUGCCUAGGAGAUAAUGGCCGAAGAAAGACGCAGGCGGCGGCGAUACUCGUCGGGGAGGUGCCAACAACCUUUGAUCCGGCGGUUUCUGAAUGAGGCAACUCUCCCUUUAUAGGGAAGCCAUACGUAAACAACGUCCCGCAAGGGAUGUAAUAGCGUAGGGCAGGAUACCGGGCCAACUGAAACAUCUCAGUAGCCCGAGGAACAGAAAUCAUAUGAGAUUCCGUUAGUAGCGGCGAGCAAAAGCGGAACAGCCUAAACCACCUCUGGUGGUGUUGCAGGGCAGACGAUAUCCGAUCUAUUUUGUCUAGAAGAAGAACCCGGAAUGGUUCCCCAUAGAACGUGAAAGGCGUGUAUUCGAAAGGCAAGAUAGCGGUAGUUUGUACCUAAGUACCAUGGGGCACGAUUAAACCCUGUGGGAAUCUGGGACGUCCAUGUUCCAAGGCUAAAUACCAUUGUCUACCGAUAGUGAACUAGUACCGCGAGGGAAAGGUGAAAAGCACCCCGGAAGGGGAAUGAAAGAGAACUGAAAUCAUUGACUGACAAGCAGCCGAAGCGCAAGUGACGGCGUGCCUAUUGAAGAAUGAACCGGUGAGUUAUUUUGUACUCUAUAGUCUAAGCAACUUAAGUUGCGAAGGCGUAGUGAAAGCGGGCCCUAACCGGGCUAAUAAGAGUAUGGAAUAGACCCGAAACCAGGUGAGCUAACCAUGAGCAGGGUGAAUGUCUCCGAAAGGGGACAGGAGGCCCGAACCCGUAGUCGCGGCAAUGACUUGGGAUGACUUGUGGUUAGGGGCAAUAUGCCAAACGAACCUGGAGAUAGCUGGUUCUCCCCGAAAUAUAUUUUGGUAUAGCGCUGAGUAAAUUACGCUCGUGGGGUAGAGCACUGAAUCGGUUUUGGCGUCGCAAGACGUCACACUGAAUCAAACUCCGAAUACACGAGUAUUAGUAUCUCAGUAGUCAAUCAUGUCGGGCUAAGCCGAUGUGUUAAAAGGGAAACAACCCAGAUUCUCGUCUAAGGCCUCUAAAUAAAGGCUAAGUUUAUAAGGAAGUCAUUUACCACAGACACCCAGGAAGUUGGCUUAGAAGCAGCCACCUUUUAAAGAACGCGUAACAGCGCACUGGCGGAUGGUAGAUGGCGCCGGAAAUUCCGGAGGAUAAGCCUUUUGCCGAAGACAGAAAUUCCGUAAGGGAUGGUAGGGGAGCGUUGUAAAUGCAGUGAAGUUGAGCUGUGAGGCUUGGUGGAGCGUUUACAAGUGAGAAUGCCGGUAUGAGUAGCGAGAUAUAGGUGAGAAGCCUAUACACCGUAUGCCCAAGGUUUCCUGCGCAAUGUAAUUCAGCGCAGGGUUAGUCGGCCCUAAGGGUGUUCCUCGUUUAAUUGGGGAGUAGCCCGAUGGAUAAGUCGUUAAAAUUCGACUACUAAAUAUACUACGUAUAAGGGAGUUUCGAAGGUGGAUAUGUUAAGCCUGCGUAAGUGGGUCUAAACAGUAAGGAAGAGAUGACUGGAAAAUCCGUCAUUUUGUUUAUUUAAGCUGUGGGGUAGUUUACCGAAAGGUGGACAAGUUAACAAACUUCAGCUUCCGAGAAACACUUCAUUAUGUCACAGCAAUGCUGACAAUAGUAUAUUUUACCGUACCGCAUAACCGACACAGGUGGGCUUGUCGAGAAGACUAAGGUGAUCGGGAGAAGGAGGUUCAAGGAACUCGGCACAAAAGCUAGGCGUAACCUUUGGGAGAUGCCUUGCCAACGAAGAAAUUCUGUUGGUCGCAGCGAAAGUUUGCUUACCGACUGUUUAUCUAAAACACAGGUCCCUGCAAAGCUGAAAAGCAACGUAUAGGGGCUGACACCUGCCCAGUGCUAGUAAGUCAAAUGUCUCU